Plasmopara halstedii is the source of this 191-nucleotide small nuclear RNA. It matches the Rfam family "U2 spliceosomal RNA". From Rfam's summary of the family: U2 is a small nuclear RNA (snRNA) component of the spliceosome (involved in pre-mRNA splicing). The record is from Rfam. NCBI's taxonomy places the organism in Eukaryota, Oomycota, Peronosporomycetes, Peronosporales, Peronosporaceae.
AUACCUUCUCGGCCUUUUGGCUAAGAUCAAGUGUAGUAUCUGUUCUAAUCAGUGUGAAAGCUGGUUUUUGCAAUUUUUUGCAAAGUCUAUUUCACAUUUAUUUUUGAAUAGCCCGAUUACAUCCAGCUUGCUGGUUGAAAUUGGGACGGUCUCCGGGGGCUUACACCUUUCCCCCGUGAGGCCAACAAUCC